RNAcentral lists this ribosomal RNA (1372 nucleotides) under uncultured bacterium. Its description in RNAcentral is "bacterial SSU rRNA". It matches the Rfam family "Bacterial small subunit ribosomal RNA", at positions 28 to 1381 of the family's 1533-position model. The record is from RNAcentral.
GAUGAACGCUGGCGGUGUGCCUAAUACAUGCAAGUCGAGCGAACGGACGAGAAGCUUGCUUCUCUGAUGUUAGCGGCGGACGGGUGAGUAACACGUGGAUAACCUACCUAUAAGACUGGGAUAACUUCGGGAAACCGGAGCUAAUACCGGAUAAUAUUUUGAACCGCAUGGUUCAAAAGUGAAAGACGGUCUUGCUGUCACUUAUAGAUGGAUCCGCGCUGCAUUAGCUAGUUGGUAAGGUAACGGCUUACCAAGGCAACGAUGCAUAGCCGACCUGAGAGGGUGAUCGGCCACACUGGAACUGAGACACGGUCCAGACUCCUACGGGAGGCAGCAGUAGGGAAUCUUCCGCAAUGGGCGAAAGCCUGACGGAGCAACGCCGCGUGAGUGAUGAAGGUCUUCGGAUCGUAAAACUCUGUUAUUAGGGAAGAACAUAUGUGUAAGUAACUGUGCACAUCUUGACGGUACCUAAUCAGAAAGCCACGGCUAACUACGUGCCAGCAGCCGCGGUAAUACGUAGGUGGCAAGCGUUAUCCGGAAUUAUUGGGCGUAAAGCGCGCGCAGGCGGUUUUUUAAGUCUGAUGUGAAAGCCCACGGCUCAACCGUGGAGGGUCAUUGGAAACUGGAAAACUUGAGUGCAGAAGAGGAAAGUGGAAUUCCAUGUGUAGCGGUGAAAUGCGCAGAGAUAUGGAGGAACACCAGUGGCGAAGGCGACUUUCUGGUCUGUAACUGACGCUGAUGUGCGAAAGCGUGGGGAUCAAACAGGAUUAGAUACCCUGGUAGUCCACGCCGUAAACGAUGAGUGCUAAGUGUUAGGGGGUUUCCGCCCCUUAGUGCUGCAGCUAACGCAUUAAGCACUCCGCCUGGGGAGUACGACCGCAAGGUUGAAACUCAAAGGAAUUGACGGGGACCCGCACAAGCGGUGGAGCAUGUGGUUUAAUUCGAAGCAACGCGAAGAACCUUACCAAAUCUUGACAUCCUUUGACAACUCUAGAGAUAGAGCCUUCCCCUUCGGGGGACAAAGUGACAGGUGGUGCAUGGUUGUCGUCAGCUCGUGUCGUGAGAUGUUGGGUUAAGUCCCGCAACGAGCGCAACCCUUAAGCUUAGUUGCCAUCAUUAAGUUGGGCACUCUAAGUUGACUGCCGGUGACAAACCGGAGGAAGGUGGGGAUGACGUCAAAUCAUCAUGCCCCUUAUGAUUUGGGCUACACACGUGCUACAAUGGACAAUACAAAGGGCAGCGAAACCGCGAGGUCAAGCAAAUCCCAUAAAGUUGUUCUCAGUUCGGAUUGUAGUCUGCAACUCGACUACAUGAAGCUGGAAUCGCUAGUAAUCGUAGAUCAGCAUGCUACGGUGAAUACGUUCCCGGGUCU